UCAAAUAACUAAUGUACUUAAGUGAGAACAGUAAAACGGUAAGUACCUACCUACUUAAAAGCUCUAAUUCUUAUUUUAUUGUCUAUUAGAUAAACACAAAUAGUACAGAAGUGGUUUGUUUACAGAUGAAGCGUUCAAGCGUUGAGAUUCCACCGUGCUCUACAGUGCUUCGCCGUCGCGUCGACGACGAGCGGCAGGACGUCUGCGAGACUGCUACAACCUGCAUCGGUGCCGGUCUAACACACCAAGGCUCCGAUAUUUAUAAAGGAAAUGCACAAUGCUAAAAACUGCGUAGGAGAUUUUAAUACAAUAGUACUACCAAGCCUGAUGUUGGCCGCUAUUUCAAUGAAUGCAGCAGUGUCACAGCUAGCAAUCAAAAGUAACAAGAUAUUGAGGAAAUGCAGAUGGCAAUAAACUGUGUAGGAGUUCAUGAUUGCAAUAGAAUAAAAUCGACCAAGCCUGAAGUCAGCAGCCCCUUCAAUGAAUGCAGCAGUGUGACAGCCAACAAUCAAAAGUUACAAGAUAUCGAGGAAAUGCAGAAGGCAAAAAACUGCGUAGGAGAUCAUUAAUACAAAAGUAUUAUAUAAACCAAACCUGAUGUUGCCAGCUCCUUCAAUGAAUGCAGCAGUGUGACAGCCAACAAUCAAAAGUAACAAGAUAUCGAGGAAAUGCAGAAGGCAAAAAACUGCGUAGGAGAUCAUUAAACAAUAGUAUUAUAUAAACCAAACCUGAUGUUGGCCGCGCAUUCAAAGAAUGCAGCAGUGUGACAGCCAGCAAUCAAAAGUAACAAGAUGUCGAGGAAAUGCAGAGUAUAAUAAACUGUGUAGGAGAUUAUGAUUGCAAUAGAAUAAAAUCGACCAAGCCUGAAGUCCUUCAAUGCACGCAGCAGUGUGACAGCCAGCAAUCAAAAGUUACAAGAUAUCGAGGAAAUGCGCAAUAAACUGUGUAGGAGUUUAUGAUUGCAAUAGAAUAAAAUCGACCAAGCCUGAAGACAGCAGCCCCUUCAAUGAAUGCAGCAGUGUGACAGCCAACAAUCAAAAGUUACAAGAUAUCGAGGAAAUGCAGAAGGCAAAAAACUGCGUAGGAGAUCAUUAAUACAAAAGUAUUAUAUAAACCAAACCUGAUGUUGCCAGCUCCUUCAAUGAAUGCAGCAGUGUGACAGCCAGCAAUCAAAAGUAACAAGAUGUCGAGGAAAUGCAGAAGGCAAAAAACUGCGUAGGAGAUCAUUAAUACAAUAGUAUUAUAUAAACCAAGCCUGAUGUUGGCCGCUCAUUCAAAGAAUGCAGCAGUGUGACAGCCAGCAAUCAAAAGUAACAAGAUAUCGAGGAAAUGCAGAAGGCAAAAAACUGCGUAGGAGAUUAUUAAUACAAUAGUAUUAUAUCAACCAAGCCUGAUGUCGGUAGCUUCUUCAAUGAAUGCAGCAGUGUGACAGCCAGCAAUCAAUAGUGAUAGUGACAAGAAUCUAGGAAAUACAGAAGGCAAAGAAGCAGAUGUCAUCAAAGAAGAUCUUUGUUCCUGCAAUGUUUCCGCAGACGAUACAUCCAACAGAGCGAAGUGGAAGGAAAAGACUCGGAAAAAAGACCCCACCACCAUAUGGGAACAAUGCAAGGGAGAGAGAGAGAAUAUAAUUUUAUAUUUUUAUUUUUUGAUAACAUAAAAUAAACCAACAAUAUCCUACACAUUUUUUUUAUUUCUUUUUGUGUCUGUCUUAAUAGUUAUUACAAAUCUGUGAUGCGAAACAAACU
Pectinophora gossypiella (pink bollworm) is the source of this 1745-nucleotide RNA transcript. RefSeq lists it as uncharacterized. The transcript has 12 exons. The record is from RefSeq and is a predicted model, not a curated record. NCBI's taxonomy places the organism in Eukaryota, Metazoa, Arthropoda, Insecta, Lepidoptera, Gelechiidae.